UCUCUCCUUUCUCCUCCUAG
RNAcentral lists this microRNA (20 nucleotides) under Mus musculus (house mouse). RNAcentral's name for it is "mmu-miR-6975-3p". Lineage: Eukaryota; Metazoa; Chordata; Mammalia; Rodentia; Muridae. The record is from miRBase by way of RNAcentral.